Molecule: long non-coding RNA, 432 nt
Filed under: Lathyrus oleraceus (garden pea)
Lineage: Eukaryota; Viridiplantae; Streptophyta; Magnoliopsida; Fabales; Fabaceae
Description: Pisum sativum (pea) long non-coding RNA (PSAT_LNC009333)
Source: RNAcentral
UUUUUGGAUUAAUUUUGAUAUUUUUCAUGAAUUAAAUGUUUUUAUGCAUACUUUUAAUUGUUUAAAUAUAUUUCUGACUUUUCAAAAAUCAUGAAAUUUUUUGUCUAAGGUCCUUUGACCUUGUUUGACCUAGGAUAAAUCUCUUGGCCAUUUAUUUGGUGUUUUGAAGAGAUUUUAGAUUUUGACCAAAUUAAAUUGUAUUUUUAUGCAUUUUUAAAUUGAUUUUUAAUUGAUUAAAUGUGUAAAAAUUAUGUUGAGUCAUUUUUAGGGUCUUGUAAUGUUUGACUAUUUGUUUGGGCCUUGGUCAAGAUUGAUUUGAAUUUGGUUGGAUUAAAACCAUUGGAUUUAGGGGAUUGAUAAAAUGUACAUUUCAUCUCCCAAAAUGAAUGAAUGGUUUUAGUUUGAUAAAAUUCCUUGCAUGACCAAUUUGUG